CUCGUAUCUAAAAAAUAAAUGCAAGCACUUGAGGAACUGUAUAAAUACAGGGCAUCUACCCUACAAUACUGCUUUAUUAAAAUAAUAAAUUCUUUUAAUAAGUUUAACCAGACAUAAGGCUCAGGGAAAACUACUCUGUGCAUAUCAGCGUACGGUGCUGAAACUGUAAAAGACGACCUGUCUCUGACAUCAUACUCAUCUUUACUCUCCUGAUGUCGUAAGGGACGUAAGAAAAACCACAUUAUAAGCCUAAAUGUACUGUCUUCAAGUAUCUCCAUGAUUAAAGUGUUCCUAAGAAACCGUCCUUA
This 308-nucleotide long non-coding RNA is filed under the name Homo sapiens (human). Its description in RNAcentral is "HSALNT0060864". The record is from RNAcentral. Lineage: Eukaryota; Metazoa; Chordata; Mammalia; Primates; Hominidae.